AUGACGAAGGGGGCUAGCGUUGUUCGGAAUCACUGGGCUUAAAGCGCGUGUAGGUGGCGGCCUAAGUACCUUGUGAAAUCCUGCGGCUCAACCGCAGAACUGCUUGGUAUACUGGGUCGCUUGAGCCAUCCAGGGGCAACUGGAACAAGCGGUGGAGCGGUGAAAUGCGUAGAUAUCGCUUGGAACGCCAAAGGUGAAAACAGGUUGCUGGGGAUGCGCUGACACUGAGACGCGAAAGCCAGGGGAGCGAACGGG
This 255-nucleotide ribosomal RNA is filed under the name uncultured bacterium. Its description in RNAcentral is "partial 16S ribosomal RNA". It matches the Rfam family "Bacterial small subunit ribosomal RNA", at positions 522 to 776 of the family's 1533-position model. The record is from RNAcentral.